Molecule: non-coding RNA, 184 nt
Filed under: Methylococcus sp. EFPC2
Lineage: Bacteria; Pseudomonadati; Pseudomonadota; Gammaproteobacteria; Methylococcales; Methylococcaceae
Description: 6S / SsrS RNA
Rfam family: 6S / SsrS RNA
About the family: E. coli 6S RNA was the first non coding RNA to be sequenced, but its function was unknown until recently. It consists of 184 nucleotides that fold into an extended hairpin structure with a large single-stranded internal bulge.
Source: Rfam by way of RNAcentral
UAUUCCCUGCAGCGCUCGAAGCACUCUGGGUUUUUUCUUGAGCCUAAUUCUUAACCCCGGGAACGUUCCGGCCCGCGAUGUGCGCAGGUCCGCUCCGCGCGGAAAGCCUUAUUCGCGGCUUACCGUUCCCACCUGAACCAACGGUUCAAGGGCGAAAGUGUGUUACGGCGCAGGCGGGGAAUAC